GCCGUGAGGUGUUGGGUUAAGUCCCGCAACGAGCGCAACCCUCGUCGUUAGUUACAAGUGUCUAAUGAGACUGCCGAGAUAAACUCGGAGGAAGGUGGGGAUGACGUCAAGUCAGCAUGACCUUUAUGCCUAGGGCUACACACACGCUACAAUGGGCAGGUACAAUGGGAUGCGAAGCCGCGAGGCGGAGCCAAUCCACAAAAUUGCCCUCAGUUCAGAUUGCAGGCUGCAACUCGCCUGCAUGAAGUCGGAGUUGCUAGUAAACGCGGGUCAGCUAUACCGCGUUGAAUACGUUCCCGGGCCUUGUACACACCGCCCGUCACGUCAUGGAAGCCGGUAACACCUGAAGCCGGUGGGCUAACCCGCAAGGGAGGCAGCCGUCGAAGGUGGGACUGGUGACUGGGACGAAGUCGUAACAAGGUAGCUGUACCGGAAGGUGCGGCUGGAUCACCUCCUUUCUAGGGAUACCGAGCAAGAGCUACGGCUGACUGCUCCAAUCCUAGGUCUUUCUUCAGCUUCGGCUGAAGUCAUCGCAGACCAUUUAUGUUUUCUACCACUCCUCAGUUGUUAAGGUACAUGGGCCUUUAGCUCAGUUGGUUAGAGCGCAGUCCUGAUAAGACUGAGGUCUCUGGUUCGAGCCCAGGAAGGCCCACUCGGAAUUUUAGAUUUGGGGAUUUUAGAUUUUCGAUUGUUCUACGGCCCAAUUUGAAAUCUAAGACUUGAAAUCUACAAUUCGACGGGGGGCCGUAGCUUAGCUGGGAGAGCGCCUCCUUUGCAAGGAGGAGGUCAGGGGUUCGAAUCCCCUCGGCUCCACUUUUGACGGAGAAUACGAAGGGCACUAUAAUCUCUACUGUAUGUUAAAUAUUCUGGCGGUUGCGCAAACAGAAUAGCUUUACCGGAAGGCGAAUUCUCAGGAGCGGCAUGCGGCCUGGCGAAAAGCCUGGCCGAUUUUUUUCGCUUCAGCCUCUGUGGGUUGCCGGUGGUCGCAAGAUCGCCGGCAACCUCUAGCAGCUGAAAGGCUUAAUGCGCUAGAAAUUGGCAGAUUGAAAGCGGAAAGCGGAGCGGCGCCUCGAAGACCGGUGCUGCGACAAAUUCCGGACUACAGUUGCCAAUGUCGAUCUGAUCUUUAAUAAUCGAAUAGUUGUGUGCAAGUCUUCACACCGAAUCGCGUUGUAUAUUAAGCUACUAAGGGCGCACGGUGGAUGCCUUGGCACGAAGAGCCGAAGAAGGGCGUAGUUGGCUGCGAUAAGCCGCGGGGAGCUGUCAGCAAGCGUUAUAUCCGCGGAUGC
Molecule: small RNA, 1289 nt
Filed under: uncultured Halomonadaceae bacterium
Lineage: Bacteria; Pseudomonadati; Pseudomonadota; Gammaproteobacteria; Oceanospirillales; Halomonadaceae
Description: bacterial SSU rRNA
Rfam family: Bacterial small subunit ribosomal RNA (bases 1-458)
Source: RNAcentral